CUACGGGGCGCACCAGUGGGGAAUUUUGGACAAUGGGCGAAAGCCUGAUCCAGCAAUACCGCGUGCAGGAAGAAGGCCCUCGGGUUGUAAACUGCCUUUGUACGGAACGAAACGGCGCGCUCUAAUAAAGUGCGCUAAUGACGGUACCGUAAGAAUAAGCACCGGCAAACUACGUGCCAGCAGCCGCGGUAAUACGUAGGGUGCAAGCGUUAAUCGGAAUUACUGGGCGUAAAGCGUGCGCAGGCGGUUUUGUAAGACAGGCGUGAAAUCCCCGGGCUCAACCUGGGAAUUGCGCUUGUGACUGCAAGGCUAGAGUACGGUAGAGGGGGGUAGAAUUCCGCGUGUAGCAGUGAAAUGCGUAGAUAUGCGGAGGAACACCGAUGGCGAAGGCAGCCCCCUGGACCUGUACUGACGCUCAUGCACGAAAGCGUGGGGAGCAAACAGGAUUAGAUACCCCAGUAGUC
RNAcentral lists this ribosomal RNA (464 nucleotides) under uncultured bacterium. RNAcentral describes it as "partial 16S ribosomal RNA". It matches the Rfam family "Bacterial small subunit ribosomal RNA", at positions 339 to 795 of the family's 1533-position model. The record is from RNAcentral.